This 582-nucleotide ribosomal RNA is filed under the name uncultured bacterium. RNAcentral's name for it is "bacterial SSU rRNA". It matches the Rfam family "Bacterial small subunit ribosomal RNA", at positions 341 to 914 of the family's 1533-position model. The record is from RNAcentral.
ACGGGAGGCAGCAGUAGGGAAUCUUCCGUAAUGGACGAAAGUCUGACGGAGCAACGCCGCGUGAGUGAUGAAGGUUUUCGGAUCGUAAAGCUCUGUUGUUAGGGAAGAACAAGUGCGAGAGUAACUGCUCGCACCUUGACGGUACCUAACCAGAAAGCCACGGCUAACUACGUGCCAGCAGCCGCGGUAAUACGUAGGUGGCAAGCGUUGUCCGGAAUUAUUGGGCGUAAAGGGCUCGCAGGCGGUUUCUUAAGUCUGAUGUGAAAGCCCCCGGCUCAACCGGGGAGGGUCAUUGGAAACUGGGAAACUUGAAUGCAGAAGAGGAGAGUGGAAUUCCACGUGUAGCGGUGAAAUGCGUAGAGAUGUGGAGGAACACCAGUGGCGAAGGCGACUCUCUGGUCUGUAACUGACGCUGAGGAGCGAAAGCGUGGGGAGCGAACAGGAUUAGAUACCCUGGUAGUCCACGCCGUAAACGAUGAGUGCUAAGUGUUAGGGGGUUUCCGCCCCUUAGUGCUGCAGCUAACGCAUUAAGCACUCCGCCUGGGGAGUACGGUCGCAAGACUGAAACUCAAAGGAAUUGAC